UGAAUACGAGAUGCUACGGCGUCGAAGCAGUCUAUGUCAUACUUCCAAGAAAAGCUUGCACUGUCAUAAACAAAUAAUGCCUGUACCAUAACCGACACAGGUGGGUAGGUAGAGUAUACUAAGGGGCGCGAGAUAACUCUCUCUAAGGAACUCGGCAAAAUGACUCCGUAACUUCGGGAGAAGGAGUGCCUUAUUUAUAAGGUUGCAAUAACAAGAUCCAAGCAACUGUUUACCAAAAACACAGGUCUCCGCUAAGUCGUAAGACGAUGUAUGGGGGCUGACGCCUGCCCAGUGCCAGAAGGUUAAAGAAGUUGGUUAGCAUCCGCGAAGCUGAUAACUGAAGCCCUGGUGAACGGCGGCCGUAACAAUAACGGUCCUAAGGUAGCGAAAUUCCUUGUCGGGUAAGUUCCGACCCGCACGAAAGGCGUAAUGAUUUGGAUACUGUCUCGGAGAGGGGCUCGGUGAAAUAGACUUGUCUGUGAAGAUGCGGACUACCUGCACCAGGACAGAAAGACCCUAUGAAGCUUUACUGUAACCUGAAAUUGAAAUUGGACUUUACUUGCGCAGUAUAGGUGGGAGGCGUUGAGAAUAUUCUUGCGGGAUUAUUGGAGCCAUCAGUGAGAUACCACUCUUGUAAUGUUAGAUUUCUAGCUUUGUAUCAUUAUCUGGUCAAAGAACAGUUUCAGGCGGGCAGUUUGACUGGGGCGGUCGCCUCCUAAACGGUAACGGAGGCGCACAAAGGUUUCCUCUGAACGGGUAGAAAUCGUAUCUAGAGUGUAAAGGCAUAAGGAAGCUUGACUGUGAGACCUACAAGUCGAGCAGGGACGAAAGUCGGUCUUAGUGAUCUGACGGUGCUGAGUGGAAAGGCCGUCACUCAACGGAUAAAAGUUACUCUAGGAUAACAGGCUGAUCUCCCCCAAGAGUUCACAUCGACGGGGAGGUUUGGCACCUCGAUGUCGGCUCAUCGCAUCCUGGGGCGGUAGUACGUCCCAAGGGUUGGGCUGUUCGCCCAUGAAAGCGGUACGCGAGCUGGGUUCAGAACGUCGUGAGACAGUUCGGUCCAUAUCCGGUGUAGGCGUUAGAAUAUUGAGAGGAGCCUUCUUUAGUACGAGAGGACCGAGAAGGACAUACCUCUGGUGUACCAGUUAUCGUGCCAACGGUAAACGCUGGGUAGCUAUGUGUGGAGUGGAUAACCGCUGAAAGCAUCUAAGUGGGAAGCCCACCUCAAGAUAAGUAUUC
RNAcentral lists this ribosomal RNA (1239 nucleotides) under metagenome. RNAcentral describes it as "bacterial LSU rRNA". It matches the Rfam family "Bacterial large subunit ribosomal RNA", at positions 1564 to 2813 of the family's 2925-position model. The record is from RNAcentral.